GUUUGUCCUCUGAAACUCUAGAAAGAGCUUCUCCUUCGGGAGCAGAGUGACAGGUGGUGCAUGGUUGUCGUCAGCUCGUGUCGUGAGAUGUUGGGUUAAGUCCCGCAACGAGCGCAACCCUUGAUCUUAGUUGCCAUCAUUAAGUUGGGCACUCUAAGGUGACUGCCGGUGACAAACCGGAGGAAGGUGGGGAUGACGUCAAAUCAUCAUGCCCCUUAUGACCUGGGCUACACACGUGCUACAAUGGACGGUACAAAGAGCUGCAAGACCGCGAGGUGGAGCUAAUCUCAUAAAACCGUUCUCAGUUCGGAUUGUAGGCUGCAACUCGCCUACAUGAAGCUGGAAUCGCUAGUAAUCGCGGAUCAGCAUGCCGCGGUGAAUACGUUCCCGGGCCUUGUCCACACCGA
This 407-nucleotide ribosomal RNA is filed under the name Bacillus sp. A249. Its description in RNAcentral is "bacterial SSU rRNA". It matches the Rfam family "Bacterial small subunit ribosomal RNA", at positions 978 to 1393 of the family's 1533-position model. The record is from RNAcentral. Lineage: Bacteria; Bacillati; Bacillota; Bacilli; Caryophanales; Bacillaceae.